GGUUACCUUGUUACGACUUCACCCCAGUCAUGAAACACACCGUGGUAAACGCCCUCCCGAAGGUUAGACUAUCUACUUCUGGUGCAAUCCACUUCCAUGGUGUGACGGGCGGUGUGUACAAGACCCGAGAACGUAUUCACCGCGGCAUGCUGAUCCGCGAUUACUAGCGAUUCCGACUUCAUGGAGUCGAGUUGCAGACUCCAAUCCGGACUAGGACAAACUUUCUAGGGAUUAGCACCACCUCGCGGCUUAGCGUCCGUCUGUAUUCCCCAUUGUAGCACGUGUGUAGCCCUACUCGUAAGGGCCAUGAUGACUUGACGUCGUCCUCACCUUCCUCCGGUUUAUCACCGGCAGUCCCUUAUAGUCCCGACCGAAUCGCUGGCAAAUAAGGGUAAGGGUUGCGCUCGUUAUCCGACUUAACGGAACAUCUCAC
RNAcentral lists this ribosomal RNA (433 nucleotides) under uncultured gamma proteobacterium SUR-FREE-14. Its description in RNAcentral is "partial 16S ribosomal RNA". The record is from RNAcentral. Lineage: Bacteria; Pseudomonadati; Pseudomonadota; Gammaproteobacteria.